This 253-nucleotide ribosomal RNA is filed under the name uncultured bacterium. RNAcentral describes it as "partial 16S ribosomal RNA". It matches the Rfam family "Bacterial small subunit ribosomal RNA", at positions 524 to 776 of the family's 1533-position model. The record is from RNAcentral.
UACGUAGGGUGCGAGCGUUGUCCGGAAUUAUUGGGCGUAAAGGGCUCGUAGGCGGUCUGUUGCGUCAGGAGUGAAAACUCGGGGCUUAACCCCGGGCCUGCAGCCGAUACGGGCAGACUAGAGUUCGGCAGGGGAGACUGGAAUUCCUGGUGUAGCGGUGAAAUGCGCAGAUAUCAGGAGGAACACCGGUGGCGAAGGCGGGUCUCUGGACCACAACUGACGCUGAGGCGCGAAAGCUAGGGGAGCAAACAGG